GCCCUUCCCGGCCUCGCCCGCACUCCCAGCGCCCACGGAGGCGGCCAGCCUUCUCCCCAGAGACCGUCUGGGAGUCGCUCAAGGCUUUCCAUGACUGGCGGGGAUGCGCCGCUGCCCCAAGCCCCGCCACGUUCUCCAUCCAGCAGCCGGCCUGGUGCUCCCUGAAUAGGGACCACCCAUGCCAGAUCAUCCCCCUCCCUUUGCCUGGCUUCAGUCCGACGCGAGGCCGCUGGGGGGCAAGCGCUGUGGUUGAGAAAAGCAAAGAAAAAAGAAAAAUCCACCAAGUUUAGGGGGUGAAGGAGCACUGUAUAUAUCUGGAUUUAAAAAAAGCAAUUCCUCCCACCCACAACCAUCGGAAACACACCCUCGUGUCCACUGCCCCUCGCCCGUAUCUCAUGAACCAGAAGGGCAAAUACGCCACAACUUUCUCUUUGUCCCACGUCUGUCCCCUGACGCCAUCUGCCCACGUCUCUACGUGACGCAGCUUCUCUCCGUCGAAAACCCCAGUCGGGCAGAUGCGUUGGCGAGUGACGCCUCUUCGGAACCGGGGUCAGGAGGAAGACGCCUCUGAGAGCGCUUCAAAAACCCAGCGGGUGAGCGGGACCCGCUGUGCCCAACCGGCCGCGCCCCCGUCCCGACCACGUGCGCGCGCGCGGGGCUCGCUCUCAAUGACCCUCUGAGCAGGUUAUUGUCACCACGCCCUCCUCCCCACUCAUUUUUACAGAGACUCUAACCUUCUCCUCCCCACCAACAACAGUCAGAGAGAGAAUUUGGAAGCAAAACCUAGACACCACAGUAUUUAAUCUGCAAGCAUUUUCAGCACGUACUGCCAAAAGACCCUCACAUUACCCAGACCACAAUGCCAGCAACACAGCAACAAUACCAAGAUACUCCCAGGAAAUUC
This 904-nucleotide long non-coding RNA is filed under the name Equus caballus (horse). RNAcentral's name for it is "lncRNA (ENSECAG00000050919.1)". The record is from RNAcentral. Lineage: Eukaryota; Metazoa; Chordata; Mammalia; Perissodactyla; Equidae.